This 119-nucleotide ribosomal RNA is filed under the name Pteropus alecto (black flying fox). The record is from RNAcentral. Lineage: Eukaryota; Metazoa; Chordata; Mammalia; Chiroptera; Pteropodidae.
GUCUGCAGCCAUGCCACCCUGAACAAGCCCGAUCCCGACUGAUCUCAGAAGCUAAGCAGGGUCAGGCCUGGUUAGUACUUGGAUAGGAGACCACUUAGGAAUACCAGGUGCUGUAGGCA